RNAcentral lists this ribosomal RNA (492 nucleotides) under uncultured bacterium. RNAcentral describes it as "partial 16S ribosomal RNA". It matches the Rfam family "Bacterial small subunit ribosomal RNA", at positions 29 to 507 of the family's 1533-position model. The record is from RNAcentral.
AGUGAACGCUGGCGGUAGGCCUAACACAUGCAAGUCGAACGGCAGCACAGUAAGAUCUCUCUCCUACGGGUGGCGAGUGGCGGACGGGUGAGGAAUACAUCGGAAUCUACUUUUUCGUGGGGGAUAACGUAGGGAAACUUACGCUAAUACCGCAUACGACCUACGGGUGAAAGCAGGGGAUCUUCGGACCUUGCGCGUUUGAAUGAGCCGAUGUCGGAUUAGCUAGUUGGCGGGGUAAAGGCCCACCAAGGCGACGAUCCGUAGCUGGUCUGAGAGGAUGAUCAGCCACACUGGAACUGAGACACGGUCCAGACUCCUACGGGAGGCAGCAGUAGGGAAUAUUGGACAAUGGGCGCAAGCCUGAUCCAGCCAUACCGCGUGAGUGAAGAAGGCCUUCGGGUUGUAAAGCCCUUUUGUUAGGAAAGAAAAGCAGCAGGUUAAUACCCCGCUGUUCUGACGGUACCCAAAGAAUAAGCACCGGCUAACUUCGUG